CUGGCCCAAACAAAGCGCUAGCGGAAGAGGAGCGAAAGCACACGGAUAACACCAGCUACGGUUCCUUCUUGCUGUGCGGUCGGUUGUAAUGUUAGAUUGCACGACCGACAAGGGAAUAAGCUUGAAAUGGUUUAUCUUUUCAUUCUUUCCCCACCUGGAAGCAACAUGAGGCAGCUCAUGUAUCAGAUGUUACCAAAAGAAGACGUCUAGUCUGGAUAGCAGCUGUGAGACGAGCUGAUAUCCAGCUCUCUUCCAUCUCCAAAUAUCUGUUGGUGCUCCAGACAUUUUCAUUCCGGCAAACCAGCCUAUGAAAUGGAUGAAACACAUCGUGACUGGGUUCCAGCGCUACACAAGGGGCACUCCGAAAUCCCUGCUUCAAACAUACCGCCAUGCCAAUCAGAUUACUUCUUCCAUGUGAGGGUGAAGAUGUGACCCUUCUGGAUAAGAUGGUGAAGGUUUGCUGCGUUUUGGUGAACAGUGUGGUAGUAAAACCAGGGAAAAAUGAAACUUGUGCCUGUUAAAUAUUCUUAAGUCUUGCGCUGUAUAAAUAGCGGUAAUUUUUCAAAAGAUACAGUAAAUUAAGUAGUGUUAGUAGUUGGUGAUAUCAUGUAAACGCUGUCAUGAUUUUGUGUAAACAUUUUGUCAUUUGUAAACUAUAAAUGACAUUGAUUCUACAUUGUAACUGAUGUGAUGUUCUAUAAAGUGGUUUUAAUAAAAAACAAAAGGCAAAAA
Long non-coding RNA from Oreochromis niloticus (Nile tilapia), 732 nucleotides. RefSeq lists it as uncharacterized. The record is from RefSeq and is a predicted model, not a curated record. The transcript is spliced from 2 exons. NCBI's taxonomy places the organism in Eukaryota, Metazoa, Chordata, Actinopteri, Cichliformes, Cichlidae.